GUGCCUUUUGGCAGCACAUAAACUAAAAUUGGAACCAUACACAGAAGAGUAGCAUGACCCCUUGCAAGGAUGACAUGCAAAUUUAUGAAUGUUACGUAUAUAUU
Molecule: small nuclear RNA, 104 nt
Organism: Sorex fumeus (smoky shrew)
Lineage: Eukaryota; Metazoa; Chordata; Mammalia; Eulipotyphla; Soricidae
Source: RefSeq, a predicted model, not a curated record